UAGGGAAUCUUCCACAAUGGACGAAAGUCUGAUGGAGCAACGCCGCGUGAGUGAAGAAGGUUUUCGGAUCGUAAAGCUCUGUUGUUGGUGAAGAAGGAUAGAGGCAGUAACUGGUCUUUAUUUGACGGUAAUCAACCAGAAAGUCACGGCUAACUACGUGCCAGCAGCCGCGGUAAUACGUAGGUGGCAAGCGUUGUCCGGAUUUAUUGGGCGUAAAGCGAGCGCAGGCGGAAUGAUAAGUCUGAUGUGAAAGCCCACGGCUCAACCGUGGAACUGCAUCGGAAACUGUCAUUCUUGAGUGCAGAAGAGGAGAGUGGAACUCCAUGUGUAGCGGUGGAAUGCGUAGAUAUAUGGAAGAACACCAGUGGCGAAGGCGGCUCUCUGGCUCUGCAACUGACGCUGAGGCUCGAAAGCAUGGGUAGCGAACAGGAUUAGAUACCCUGGUAGUCCAUGCCGUAAACGAUGAGCGCUAGGUGUU
Molecule: ribosomal RNA, 478 nt
Filed under: uncultured bacterium
Lineage: Bacteria
Description: partial 16S ribosomal RNA
Rfam family: Bacterial small subunit ribosomal RNA
Source: RNAcentral